Camellia sinensis is the source of this 397-nucleotide long non-coding RNA. RefSeq lists it as uncharacterized. The record is from RefSeq and is a predicted model, not a curated record. NCBI's taxonomy places the organism in Eukaryota, Viridiplantae, Streptophyta, Magnoliopsida, Ericales, Theaceae.
AUAUGAAGUAAAGUUGGAACUCACCAGAAUCCUGUCCAUCUCUCUGCUGUCCUUCUGCAAAAUCUCCAAUUCUCUUCUCACUGAAUGAAUGUGCCCUUCAACAGAGAAAAAGGGUUAUCUAUGCAGUCUUCAGCUGAUGCAGAGGAGACCUUUUCUCUAGCUUUUAAAAUUGCAUCUGGAGUAAAGAUCUAUUGAAGGUGGGAGAGCAUGUCACUCUUAUCCAAAGCAGGGCACAAUCUACUCACCACAUCCAGGUUUAUAAGGUGCAGAUGAUCUGGACAUAAACUUGGGAAAAUCAUCAGGAUUCUUAUGGAUGUUCGAAGGGAAAGAUCAUCUUCAUGACUUUUAGCAUGUGAAAGUAGCAGAAAAGAGUAGUAGCUGGUGUGAAUACUUACCA